CGGUGCGAUCAUACCAACACUAAUGCGCCAGAUCGAAUCAGAACUCCGCAGUUAAGUGUGUUUGGGCGAGAGUAGUACUAGGAUGGGUGACCUCGUGGGAAAUCCUCAUGUUGCACCCC
Quercus robur (English oak) is the source of this 119-nucleotide ribosomal RNA. The record is from RefSeq and is a predicted model, not a curated record. NCBI's taxonomy places the organism in Eukaryota, Viridiplantae, Streptophyta, Magnoliopsida, Fagales, Fagaceae.